This 464-nucleotide long non-coding RNA is filed under the name Brassica napus (rape). Its description in RNAcentral is "long non-coding RNA (BNAP_LNC017392)". The record is from RNAcentral. Lineage: Eukaryota; Viridiplantae; Streptophyta; Magnoliopsida; Brassicales; Brassicaceae.
GACCGCUGCUGACGUGGCUGGUGGACCCCGCUCCUUCGGAGUUAGCCACGCUGCUGCUACUGUUGUUAUUCCCCUCGUAGUGGCACCGCUUGUGUCCGCCGAGAGCUUGGCCGGAAGGAAACGACUUGUGACAGAUCGAGCAAACAUGCGACUUCCCACUUCCGGUUGUCACCGCGGAUGUGGUCGACGUUGAAGACUUGUGACAGAUCGAGCAAACAUGCGACUUCCCACUUCCGGUUGUCCCCGCGGAUGUGGUCGACGUUGAUUGAUCGUCUCCUCCGCCGGAUAGGGUCUGUGAUAAGUUUUUCCGGUGACUGGCCUUGUGUCCGCCGAGUGCUUGGUAAGACGAGAAGGACUUGUCGCAGACGCUGCACGUGUAGGUUGACGACUUCUCCCCCACCGUCACCGGAGGAGGAGGAAGAGGGUUACGGUUGCUGCGAUCUCCGUCACGAGCGAGGAGCAAG